RNAcentral lists this small RNA (545 nucleotides) under Histoplasma ohiense. RNAcentral describes it as "hypothetical lncRNA". Lineage: Eukaryota; Fungi; Ascomycota; Eurotiomycetes; Onygenales; Ajellomycetaceae. The record is from RNAcentral.
GCAUUCUGGAGUACUUUGAAGAUAAAUAUUUUGAUAUCUUCUUAUAAAUAGUGUAGGUACCCUCACUUCUCUUCCUGCAAUUUACAUGUACUAUACGUGUACUAUACCAAGCUCUCUUCUUCAAGGUUAAACGUAAAGUUGAUGAGCUGUGCAAGCAUUCGAACACCUUUGAUUAAUUAUCGAGAAUGUGCUUUUCAGCUCAUUUCUACAUGGCUUCAAAUUUCAUCACAUUCGGUUACAUGUCGCGUAGAUUUCGAACUUCUAACCAAUAUGAGCUGUGCCAACACCUUGCGGCCCGCCAGAUAGAUCAUCCGUUGCUUGAAGGUCAGAGGUUUCUUUAUCGAAAUCCAUAAAUACUGGGUCCUCGAAAAUAUUCGCCUCUCUUUUUUUGCUCUGGCUGUUUUGCUAUAUUGCUCGUGAUGAGAUACGAUGGGUUUCCUGAAAAGAGGUUGUGUAGACGAUCUUCAUUCUAUGUAAAAUGAAUCGAUUGAGGAAUGUCAGUCACAUGUGAUAUGAUAUCUUGCGGAUCGGAGGGUCUCACUGAA